AUUGAACGCUGGCGGCAUGCCUUACACAUGCAAGUCGAACGGAUUUGAGGGGCUUGCUCCUCAAGUUAGUGGCGAACGGGUGAGUAAAGCAUCGGAACGUACCCAGUAGUGGGGGAUAACGUAGCGAAAGUUACGCUAAUACCGCAUACGACCUGAGGGUGAAAGCAGGGGAUCGCAAGACCUUGCGCUAUUGGAGCGGCCGAUGUCGGAUUAGCUAGUUGGUAGGGUAAAAGCCUACCAAGGCGACGAUCCGUAGCCGGUCUGAGUGGACGACCAGCCACACUGGGACUGAGACACGGCCCAGACUCCUACGGGAGGCAGCAGUGGGGAAUUUUGGACAAUGGGCGAAAGCCUGAUCCAGCCAUGCCGCGUGAGUGAAGAAGGCCUUCGGGUUGUAAAGCUCUUUCAGACGGAAAGAAAUCUUCUGGGCUAAUACCCCGGGAGGAUGACGGUACCGUAAGAAGAAGCACCGGCUAACUACGUGCCAGCCGCCGCGGUAA
Molecule: ribosomal RNA, 500 nt
Filed under: uncultured bacterium
Lineage: Bacteria
Description: partial 16S ribosomal RNA
Rfam family: Bacterial small subunit ribosomal RNA
Source: RNAcentral